AAAAUAUUUCAUUGACGUACAAGAUUAGCUAUACCAAUUUAACUACAUAUGGUAGCUUACGCGCAUUGUGUUACAAGGACUAUUCUUGAUAGCUCUUUUAAAAAGUUUAGCUGUUAAUAAUAGCCCAAAAACAUUUACCUCAAUGUUUAUUACUUUCACAACACCAAUGUUCUAUAUUACAUUCGCUAGGAAACUAGGCCCUAGAAAAUAAGUAAAAGGGGUGGCAAAAAUGGUGCCAGCAGUCGCGGUUAUACCAGUACCCCAAGCUAAUUAAAACAAAUCGGAAUAAUUAUUAAUUUAAAAAGACUACAAGAUUAACUUUUAAUGUAAAAAGUAAAUUAAAACUAAACCCGAUCCAGUCAUCAUCUUAAUUAUUCCAACAAACCACAAUCUCAGAACUCGGAUUAGAUACCCGACUACUGUGUGGCCCAACCCAUAAAAGAAUACUACGAGCGAAAGCUUAAACCUCAAACAAUGUGGCGGUGCUUUACUCCUUAUCAGGGGAUCCUGUGGCUUAAUUCGAUAAUCCACGAAAAUCUUAGCUAUUCUCGUACUUCAGCUUGUGUAUGGCCGUUUAUGCUUGCUCAAAGAAGAAAAAAAAGGAAGCAAUAGAAUUAUUAAUUCAACAAUUCAGGUGACAUACAGCCAAUGAAAAGCAGACUCAUGGGAUACAAAUAAACACACUAACGAAUUUAAAUCUUCAAACUUUAAUGAAGGAGGACUUGAAAGUAAGAUUUAGCAUUUACAUAAAAUAAAUCUGGACAAGAACUAAAGCGCGCACAAAUCGCCCGUCACUCCGACAAUAAAGUAGGAUAAGUCGUAACAUAGUAGGGGUAAUGGAAAUUGCCCCUAUCAAAAU
Molecule: ribosomal RNA, 859 nt
Filed under: Nodularia douglasiae
Lineage: Eukaryota; Metazoa; Mollusca; Bivalvia; Unionida; Unionidae
Description: 12S ribosomal RNA
Source: RNAcentral